UCUCGGGCUCCGUGCAACGGGCGGCCGCGAACCCCGCCAGGUCCGGAAGGGAGCAACGGUAGUGGUGCGGCUCGUGUGCCGCGGAUUCCCCGGGGCCU
This 98-nucleotide signal recognition particle RNA is filed under the name Terriglobia bacterium. RNAcentral describes it as "signal recognition particle sRNA small type". It matches the Rfam family "Bacterial small signal recognition particle RNA". Rfam says of the family: The signal recognition particle (SRP) is a universally conserved ribonucleoprotein involved in the co-translational targeting of proteins to membranes. Archaeal SRP consists of a 7S RNA and homologues of the eukaryotic SRP19 and SRP54 proteins. Lineage: Bacteria; Pseudomonadati; Acidobacteriota; Terriglobia. RNAcentral also lists the same sequence under 1 other name. The record is from RNAcentral.